This is a long non-coding RNA of Dalotia coriaria, 664 nucleotides long. RefSeq lists it as uncharacterized. The transcript has 2 exons. The record is from RefSeq and is a predicted model, not a curated record. Lineage: Eukaryota; Metazoa; Arthropoda; Insecta; Coleoptera; Staphylinidae.
GUUAUAUAAAAGUGGAAGAGUCUGGAUGAUUUUAGUUGUCUCCGACGAUUUACUAUCAAGUAACAAAAACAAAAUGGCGAAACUUUUGCUUAUUUUUGCUUUGUGCCUUAGUACUACUUUGGCUGUACCAAAUCUUAAAUUCUCUCGCAGCCAUCUUGCGUUGACACGUGUAGCUUCCCAACUUAAGUCUGUUGAUGCAGGCUUUGAAACUUGUCUCCAAUUAAUGAUUAGCAUUAUUUAUGAUGCUCUUUUGGUCCACUUCGAUCAACUACUGAAUUGCACCCACGACCUAGUUCAAGAAGUCCAAGCCAUUGAGGAAGAAAUUGCUCAAACCACUGAGCUUACCACCAUUGACUUUCUAGCUAAGGUUCGUGUCUUUGAGGCUUGUGGUAGUGACGAAGCAUGUAGAGCAGCCGCCAUGAAAGAUAUUGUUGAAGUUAUUGCUGGAUACAUCCAGGAUGUGAAUGAAAUUUCUAAUAGACAUGAGACUAGUUUGUUGGAGAAAUUCCCCGAAGCUGCUAAAUGCAUUGAUAAUGAUAACUUAGCAUUGAUUGAUGCUAUCAAAACGGCCGGUAGUAACUUUGUCGCCUGUGUCACUGAAGGCAACAGUGUGUAAUAUUUUAAAUAUUUUAUUAAAUAAAAACACUAUGAAUCUAUAACACAA